Molecule: ribosomal RNA, 465 nt
Filed under: uncultured bacterium
Lineage: Bacteria
Description: partial 16S ribosomal RNA
Rfam family: Bacterial small subunit ribosomal RNA
Source: RNAcentral
GUUGAACGCUGGCGGCGUGCUUAACACAUGCAAGUCGAACGAUGAAGCCCAGCUUGCUGGGUGGAUUAGUGGCGAACGGGUGAGUAACACGUGAGUAACCUGCCCUUAACUCUGGGAUAAGCCUGGGAAACUGGGUCUAAUACCGGAUAGGAGCGCCUACCGCAUGGUGGGUGUUGGAAAGAUUUAUCGGUUUUGGAUGGACUCGCGGCCUAUCAGCUUGUUGGUGAGGUAAUGGCUCACCAAGGCGACGACGGGUAGCCGGCCUGAGAGGGUGACCGGCCACACUGGGACUGAGACACGGCCCAGACUCCUACGGGAGGCAGCAGUGGGGAAUAUUGCACAAUGGGCGAAAGCCUGAUGCAGCGACGCCGCGUGAGGGAUGACGGCCUUCGGGUUGUAAACCUCUUUCAGUAGGGAAGAAGCGAAAGUGACGGUACCUGCAGAAGAAGCACCGGCUAACUACGU